GAUGAAGAACGUAGUGAAAUGCGAUAAGUAAUGUGAAUUGCAGAAUUCAGUGAAUCAUCGAAUCUUUGAACGCACAUUGCGCCCGCCAGUAUUCUGGCGGGCAUGCCUGUUCGAGCGUCAUUACAACCCUCAGGCCCCCGGGCCUGGCGUUGGGGAUCGGCGGAGCCCCCCGUGGGCACACGCCGUCCCCCAAAUGCAGUGGCGGUCCCGCCGCAGCUUCCAUUGCGUAGUAGCUAACACCUCGCGACUGGAGAGCGGCGCGGCCACGCCGUAAAACACCCAACUCUUCUGAAGUUGACCUCGAAUCAGGUAGGAAUACCCGCUGAACUUAAGCAUAUCAAUAAGCGGAGGA
RNAcentral lists this unclassified non-coding RNA (352 nucleotides) under soil metagenome. RNAcentral describes it as "partial contains 5.8S ribosomal RNA, internal transcribed spacer 2, and large subunit ribosomal RNA". The stretch from base 1 to 120 matches the Rfam family "5.8S ribosomal RNA", at positions 35 to 154 of the family's 154-position model. The record is from RNAcentral.